Molecule: non-coding RNA, 30 nt
Filed under: Rattus norvegicus (Norway rat)
Lineage: Eukaryota; Metazoa; Chordata; Mammalia; Rodentia; Muridae
Source: RNAcentral
CCUGCAUGUAUAUCUGGGCACUGUAUGUGU